GAUGAACGCUGGCGGCGUGCCUAAUACAUGCAAGUCGAGCGAACAGACGAGGAGCUUGCUCCUCUGACGUUAGCGGCGGACGGGUGAGUAACACGUGGAUAACCUACCUAUAAGACUGGGAUAACUUCGGGAAACCGGAGCUAAUACCGGAUAAUAUAUUGAACCGCAUGGUUCAAUAGUGAAAGACGGUUUUGCUGUCACUUAUAGAUGGAUCCGCGCCGCAUUAGCUAGUUGGUAAGGUAACGGCUUACCAAGGCAACGAUGCGUAGCCGACCUGAGAGGGCGGGUGGCCGCACUGGGAGUGUGACCCGCUCCAGUCGGCCACGGGAGGCGGCAGUAGGGAAACUGCCGCCAUCGGUGGAAGACUGACGGAGCAGCGCCGAGGGAGGGUGGAGGAACUUCGGGUGGUAAAACUCGGUUAUUAGGGAAGAACAAGUGUGUGAGUAAGAAGGCACGUCUUGACGGUAACUAAGCAGAAAAGCACGGGCAAAUACGGGG
RNAcentral lists this ribosomal RNA (498 nucleotides) under uncultured bacterium. RNAcentral's name for it is "partial 16S ribosomal RNA". It matches the Rfam family "Bacterial small subunit ribosomal RNA", at positions 28 to 508 of the family's 1533-position model. The record is from RNAcentral.